UGGGGAAUUUUGGACAAUGGGCGAAAGCCUGAUCCAGCCAUGCCGCGUGCAGGAUGAAGGCCUUCGGGUUGUAAACUGCUUUUGUACGGAACGAAACGGUCUUUUCUAAUAAAGAAGGCUAAUGACGGUACCGUAAGAAUAAGCACCGGCUAACUACGUGCCAGCAGCCGCGGUAAUACGUAGGGUGCAAGCGUUAAUCGGAAUUACUGGGCGUAAAGCGUGCGCAGGCGGUGAUGUAAGACAGUUGUGAAAUCCCCGGGCUCAACCUGGGAACUGCAUCUGUGACUGCAUCGCUGGAGUGCGGCAGAGGGGGAUGGAAUUCCGCGUGUAGCAGUGAAAUGCGUAGAUAUGCGGAGGAACACCGAUGGCGAAGGCAAUCCCCUGGGCCUGCACUGACGCUCAUGCACGAAAGCGUGGGGAGCAAACA
RNAcentral lists this ribosomal RNA (427 nucleotides) under uncultured Variovorax sp. RNAcentral's name for it is "bacterial SSU rRNA". It matches the Rfam family "Bacterial small subunit ribosomal RNA", at positions 355 to 774 of the family's 1533-position model. Lineage: Bacteria; Pseudomonadati; Pseudomonadota; Betaproteobacteria; Burkholderiales; Comamonadaceae. The record is from RNAcentral.